ACAAGGUUUCCGUAGGUGAACCUGCGGAAGGAUCAUUGUCGUAGCCUGCUAAAGCAACACAACUUGUGAACAUGUAGAAACACCCAGGGACCCAAGGGCGUUCCGCGCCCUUUCUUCCCGACGUCGGGACGGCUUGUCGUUCGCUAUGCUUUCCGAGCCGUCCCGGCGCAACAAAAACCCGGCGCAAAAUGUGCCAAGGAAUAUAAAAGAAUGCGCGUUCUUCCGGUGUUCCCGUGCGGCGCACUCGGUUGGAUGUGCACUUCUUGAUGAGUUUAUAAUGACUCUCGGCAACGGAUAUCUCGGCUCUUACAUCGAUGAAGAACGUAGCAAAAUGCGAUACUUGGUGUGAAUUGCAGAAUCCCGUGAACCAUCGAGUCUUUGAACGCAAGUUGCGCCCGAAUCCAUCCGGUCGAGGGCACGUCUGCCUGGGUGUCACGUACACAAGUCUCCCACAAACCUUCCCUAUUUUAGGCGAAGGCCACUGUGCGAGCUGAGAUUGGUCUCCCGUGCUCGUACUGCGCGGUUAACCUAAAAUCAGAGAGCCGGUGACGCGACGUCACGUCAAGUGGUGGUUAACGAACCUUAAGGGUCGACCAGUUCGCGACGUGGACGUCUGUCACUCGGAAAGCUCAAUUGACACCUUGAACGUCUUGAUAGGCGUGCUACUGUCGCGACCCCA
This 679-nucleotide unclassified non-coding RNA is filed under the name Saxifraga lactea. RNAcentral describes it as "sequence contains ITS1, 5.8S rRNA gene, ITS2". The stretch from base 280 to 435 matches the Rfam family "5.8S ribosomal RNA". The record is from RNAcentral. Lineage: Eukaryota; Viridiplantae; Streptophyta; Magnoliopsida; Saxifragales; Saxifragaceae.